GUGAGAAUGUCUCCAAGAGGAGAGGAAGGAGUCAGUCCAGCCCCCAACUGGAAAACAUCCUUACAGGACCCUGCCCUUGAGCCCACCGUGGGACAGAUUCUGCUGAGUGGGAAAAGCCUGCCAGGUCAAAGAAGGAAAGAAAUGUCUGGGGGACAAAGAAAGAAAGAAACUCUGGAGGAUCUGCAAGGAGCAUUCAGUUCCUCUGACAUCUGUCACUCAGGGGAACAGGAAGAGGAAGAUGGGUUAAUGUGCUUCACAGAAGAAGAUCAUCCAGGAGGAAUAUUGAUGGGUAGUCACCUGCCCUACUUUUACCUUUCAUGUUGGAUGCUCUUACUAGAUUGCCAAAAUCUUCAUUCACGAAAAUAGGAGCUUCAGAGCACUCAGACUUCAGCAAAUCAGUCUGUAUUUGGGGAGCCUAAAUUUGAAGUAAGAAGAAUAAUUUUGUGCUUUUCAUACCACUGGCAAAAUGUAAAUUUCAUUGGUGCAACGUUCACUCAUUAUCGCUGAAUCAAAGAGCAGUCUCAGUUCCUGCUGGCAUCCUAUUUAACAGAAAAAUAAAAGUCUCUUCUGUUGCA
RNAcentral lists this long non-coding RNA (575 nucleotides) under Parus major (Great Tit). RNAcentral's name for it is "lncRNA (ENSPMJG00000009857.1)". The record is from RNAcentral. Lineage: Eukaryota; Metazoa; Chordata; Aves; Passeriformes; Paridae.